CAAAAAAGUUGAUGUUGAACUAGUUGAAAUUGAUGUUUCCAUACCAUGAUCAAAUGGUGCUUUAUCUUCAUUGUUGGUUGCUUGAUAUUACGAGAUGGGUAUUUUUGAGCCCCUUCAAGCAACUCCCAGUUUGAAAAUCAUCACCUGCCCAUGAAAAUUCUGUAAGAAAAAUUCUUUCAUUAUGUACUAUUAUUUAUUUUUCUUUUUUUAUGGAUUCUGUUUGAGAAAAGAUCAUUGUUGUGUUUAACGGGUUGGUUUUCCCUGAUUAUGUACAGUGCAUGAGAAUCCAUCAUGCAGGUAACUGCCUGCAUAAUUGAUAAAUUGCUCUGGACCUUCCCUACUCUCUCUGCAGAAAGACUUCUUGUAUUAACUGCCUGAGUAGACAAGUUUAAUUUGUUGCCUUAAGCUACAUUCUAAUUGUAUAAACAAGGUGUGUUGAGCUAGUUGAAAUUGAUGUUUCCAUGCCAUGAUCAAAUGGUGUUUUAACUUCAUUUUUGGUUGCUUGAUAUUAUGAGAUGGGUAUUUUUGAGCCCCUUCAAGCAACUCCCAGUUUGAAAAUCAUCACCUGCCCAUGAAAGUUCUGUAAGAAAAAUUCUUGCAUUAUGUACUAUUAUUUAUUUUUCUCUUUUUUAUGGAUUCUGUUUGAGAAAAGAUCAUUGUUGUGUUUAACG
RNAcentral lists this long non-coding RNA (671 nucleotides) under Gossypium barbadense (sea-island cotton). RNAcentral's name for it is "long non-coding RNA (GBAR_LNC008854)". Lineage: Eukaryota; Viridiplantae; Streptophyta; Magnoliopsida; Malvales; Malvaceae. The record is from RNAcentral.